GUAGGAAUAAAUUGAUGUAAUCUUUUCAAACUGAUUUGGUAUUAUCAAAGUAAUUCAACAAAAGGCAAACCCAAUUUCAUGACUUCAUAUCCAUAGAUAAGAAAACCUGUUACAGUUAACUCAUUCCAAAUUCCAACUAUAAAUAAGGAAACCUAAUUAUAUAGAUUUAAACUCAAUGUGUUACUACAUGUUUUGAAAUUCUAGUAGCUAGAAUCAUGUUCAUAUGCCUGACAAAUGACAACAGCUACAUUAUAUUUAUAGGAUCGAAUUAUUCUUAUCAGAUAUACCUCUUCACCAUUAUUGAUUUGGAACCCUUUGCAAAGAAUAGAGUAGAGUUCCUUCUUUGUUUUCCAUUGCACACUCUCUUUUCACCACCUGAGUAUGUUUUUGUUACAAAUUGUAUAGCUGUAAAUAGAUUUGAUAGAUAGAUUUGUAACAGAAUAGGAAGAAGAUGAAAGAAAUGAUGCUGAUGUAUUGAUAUAUAGAAUCAAAAUGAAGAAUGUUCCACAAUCAUAAGAUUGCCCAGGGAUAAACGUAAGCCCUCUCUCACUGAAUAAAUAAUCAGGAGCCAAUUACAAUGCAAAGGAAAUACUUGACAUCUCUCACAGAAAUAUUCCCUCUAUUUAUUAGCUUCUCUCCCUGAACAGACUUCUAGCCACCUUCCUUUUCUACCCCUUUGUUGAUUUCCUUUUCUACCCUUUUGUCCCUCUUGGAAAAAACCUGUAAUAACCUGGGCUUUUCCUUCCGAAUCAUUGUAGCAUCACAUUUGUAUCAGUCUUCAUACUCAAUUGGCAACUUUUGUUCCCAAUAUGUGUCUGGCUCUGGCAUAUCCACCUCCUCAUCCUCUAACACUUGAUGAUCCACCUGUAAUUAAGCUUACACAUAAACAAAAUGAUCUAAAUGGAUAAACCAGAAGUUGUUGGUUGGCUUACUCUCUCGAUGGGCUGGAAUUUGAUUCCUGCAAUGCCCUCGGCAAUCAAAACUAAUAUCAAAAUCAGCAUAUGUCUUGAUGCUAGUAAACUGAUACAUUUCAGUCAUGAAUCAAAAGUAAUAUCAAAAUCAGCACUUGUCUUUCAGUUCGAUUUUAAGAUGUUGAGUCUCUCCAGAAAGGCCUCAUUUAUUUGUUGAUCAGAUCGUAACUAUGAAAUUUAAAUCGAAAUGAUGGAAGCAAUUGCAAUUGCAAGUGCAGGCCAUGAAAUUGUGUGGGUAAGGUGAGAUAUAAUGAUCGCACAUAAUUGCAUAGUAUGUAAGUCAACGUGUUGAAUAGUCAACACUUUUUUGCUCUCUUGAUGUUGAGUUGUGGACAAUAACAAUAACAAGUUGCAGUGACAACGAUGACAAGUUUUGGUAGAGGCAGAGAUGAGAAUGGGGCCAGCGGUGGUCGCCGGUGUGAGAGAGUAAUGUUAUCAAAUCCCCUGAAUCUGAAUCACUCCGUAGAUCUCACAUCCAGCUCUACCAUCUAGGGUGUGUAUCUUGAAUGGAAUCAUCAAAACAAGGUUUAGGAAGUGUUACAGAAGAAUUGAUCGUCGCCAGCACCCGUUGUGGUUGAGAUGCAAUAGUAAAUUAACUUGGUAUUCAUUUUGAGAAAUUGAAGUUAUUAAUGGCGCUUAAGCUUCCAGCUGCUGAAGCUGCAAAUGUUGCGAUUCAGUCAAUUGGAUGUGGUUAUGAUAUCUCGUUAGAUCUGAGGCUUAAUUAUCGCAUGCGUCGUUAUCAUUCAGAUAUUGGUUCUAAUCCAUAUAGAAAUUGCCGUUUGAUAGAAAUUGAGGAAGAUGAAGGUAGAGAUAUUGUGCUUCCUGGUGGGCUUCUACUUCUCAAUGUUCCCGAAUCCAUCAAAUGUCAUGAAAGCGAGCAUACACGACUUCAUUCUGAUGUUCUUUCUUUUCCGCAGGUAUGGAUUAUGGAAAGUUUUACUGUUUUUGUGCUUUGACAAAUCUUCUUUUCAGUAUCUACAAUCCGUAUGUAACGUGUAUAAAAAGAAAACAACAUUAAUUGCUAUGCAACUGUUUGAGCAUGAAAAAUGUAAUUGGUUGGUAAGUNUUUU
RNAcentral lists this long non-coding RNA (2041 nucleotides) under Lactuca sativa (garden lettuce). RNAcentral's name for it is "long non-coding RNA (LSAT_LNC009896)". Lineage: Eukaryota; Viridiplantae; Streptophyta; Magnoliopsida; Asterales; Asteraceae. The record is from RNAcentral.